This is a long non-coding RNA of Ctenopharyngodon idella (grass carp), 2105 nucleotides long. RefSeq lists it as uncharacterized. The transcript has 3 exons. NCBI's taxonomy places the organism in Eukaryota, Metazoa, Chordata, Actinopteri, Cypriniformes, Xenocyprididae. The record is from RefSeq and is a predicted model, not a curated record.
AGCACUCGCCUCGCACAUGCCUAUCCACCUUAUUUUUUACAGUUUACUGCAACAUGAUAUUGAUAUUCUUCUCAUCAUUUCCCUAUAGCGGCUAAUAAAUUGGAUUCGGAAGUCUCGCACAUUCACAAAAAACACAUUAUUUCCGCGUUGAAAAAUAAGGUGGGUAGAAUAAAAACGUAGCCUAAUACGCACAUGUGCAUGCCGUAACCGAUUUCAUAGAUUGGCGUUUUUGCAGUUUAGCCUACACGGAGAUGAUAACGGUAUCAUUUUCAAAAAAUUAUAUUUUGAAACCCGUUUUCAAAACCCGUUGUCGGCAAAAACGCAUAAAAAGUUUUUCGUUUUUCAGUUGAAAAUGGUGUCGAGUAAACAGCCCCUAAGAGACGAAUUACCUCAGUCAUCAGGGCAACAUCAUUGUUGUCACAUGUUUCCUCAGUUUGGAAUUUGAUUUCAUCAUUUAGUUCAGGCCUUGAAGUCAUUCUUGAUAAGGAGGAAGAUGCUCUGUUCAGGACAAGCCCAGCUUUGAAAGUGUUUGAGACUCCCACCACCUCUGAGACUCGCACUGCCUCUCUGACUGACACUGCAUCUGAGACUGACACUGCAUCUGAGAUUGACACGGCAUCUGAGACCAACACUGCCUCUAAAAUGACACUGCCUCUGAAACUGACACUGGCUCUGAGGCUGCCUCUGAAACUGCCUCUCAGAUUGACAUUGUCUUUCAGACUGAGAUUGUCUUCGAGUCUGACACUGCCUCUGAGACUGACAAUGCUUCUCAGACUGACACUGCCUUGGAGACAACACCACCUCUCAAAAUGCCUUUUAACUUCCAUUUUCUCUGAGACUGUCACCGCAUCAGAGAUUCUCACUGCAUUGGAGACUGUCACUGUCUCUCAAUUGCCACUGGAUUUGAUACAGCUGUUGCUUCUCAGACAUCCACUGUCUCUGAGACUGUCACUCCCUGAAGACCUGAACCCCUUUUAACAUCUGUGUAACACAGUUCGUAGAUCAGGGAAGAAGGAGAUGGGAACUGGUGAACGUUCAACAAUAAUUUAAUAAAUAAACAGACACAAAACAAAAGUAAAAGAGGCAGUCCCUCACGGACCGGUUCCCAAAACGCACUGCCAUCUGCUCAGCCAUGCUCGAUGGCACCGCCGAUUCCCCACAGUGGCGAGGACUCUUUGACAGUGUGUUCCUUCUUCCUCCUGGCCUUAGGCACCAAUGAAUGGCUCAUUAUCAAUCACGGCACCAGCCUUGCACCAUUCUCACGGCCCUCAGCCUCAUCCUGCUUCUUAUUCUCUAUGCCAGAGGUGCCCAAACUUUUUACAACAAAGGGCCAAAAAUUAAACUUGAUUGAGACAAUAAAAUACAAAAUAAAUUAAAAAUUGGCAAUAAAAUAUACUCCUAGAUUUCUUUAUUCUCUGUACUCUGUUGUCUAUGGAAGAGAAUUCAUGCCACUGUGAAGCACAUGAAUACACAGCAUUUCAUGUCUGACAUCAUUCCACAAUGCUGUCUUACUUCACUUAUUAAUUAAACCACUGUGAUUUAUUUAGAAAUGAAACAAGUGACUGUUCAACCACACUGAUUUAUUCAGGUAUUCGUUCAUUUUGUGUUGCUCAGAGACAAUUCUGCUUUGGCUUCACUUGGAAGUGUUUUCGUUGACAAUGUUGUGUCUAAAUUGUAAAUGUAAUUUUGCUCAUUAUUAAAGGAAAGUUUCACUGCUGGCAAGAUGGACUUUUAAUAAAACUUGGCUGUCUAUGCAGUAGAAACAUGGGGGGAAAAAUUAAAUCUGUGUUACAUGACUAGAGAAAAGGGCUGUGGCGUUUCCUGUUGCCAAAAACGUCAUCAUCCAUAAUGCGCUUUUGAUUUUUGAUGAUGCCCCUCUGCCAAUCCGACUGUCCAUGGGGCGAGAAUACAAAAAAUGUGGAAGUUUGAUCUGUAAACCCUGGAGCUCUCAAAAGUUCACCAGAUGACUCCAAUUAACUUCUUAUUUAUUGAACUGUUGCAUAAAAGCAAAUCGUAAACUCUUGCUUGUGUGAUAUUAUUUUGCAAAUCUGAAAUACUUGAAUCUGUGCUCUUAGAUAUACAGUAAGAGAAUCAUACACUGUAUA